RNAcentral lists this unclassified non-coding RNA (594 nucleotides) under Hevea brasiliensis (rubber tree). The record is from RNAcentral. Lineage: Eukaryota; Viridiplantae; Streptophyta; Magnoliopsida; Malpighiales; Euphorbiaceae.
AAUCUGUGCAUUUAUCAAGGGAACAAGGGCAGGGCAGUGAGGGCUGGAAUUAUUCCAGCAUUGCUAAAGAUGCUCACAGAUUCAAGAAAUUCCAUGGCUGAUGAGGCUCUGACCAUUCUUUCAAUUUUAGCUAGCAACAAAGAUGCUAAGAUUGCUAUAGUAAAGGCUAGCACCAUACCUGUUCUCAUUGAUCUGUUGAGAACAGGUCAGCCCCGCAACAAAGAGAAUGCAGCGGCCAUUUUCCGUGUGCAAAAGAGAACCUGAGAAUCUUGCCUGCAUAAGUAGGCUUGGCGCUGUCAUAUCUCUGAUAGACCUUGCUAAAAGUGGCACUGAAAGGGCCAAGCGGAAGGCUACUUCAUUGUUGGAGCAGUUUCGAAAGCUAAAGCAAUUAUAGCCAAGGUAGUUGUACCAAAAAAGCUUUAUUUUUCAUUUUCUAAUUUUUUUUCUUUCAUUCCAAUUAUUUGACAAUGAUUGCCACACCAUCCUAUUAUAGUUUGAAAGCUGAGAACAUAAGCAAGGGAGACAAAGUCUUUCUGAUUGCUCUGCUUGUAUUUAUUUCCUUCUUAAUGAGUGUGUAAAAAAAUACAAGCAGAG